Molecule: transfer RNA, 73 nt
Filed under: Podarcis lilfordi (Lilford's wall lizard)
Lineage: Eukaryota; Metazoa; Chordata; Lepidosauria; Squamata; Lacertidae
Rfam family: tRNA
About the family: Transfer RNA (tRNA) molecules are approximately 80 nucleotides in length. Their secondary structure includes four short double-helical elements and three loops (D, anti-codon, and T loops).
Source: Rfam by way of RNAcentral
GCUGUGAUAGCUCAGUCAGCAGAGUAUGAGAUUCUUAAUCUCAGAGUCGUGGGUUCGAGCCCCACACUGGGCA